UGGUCUGCACCCCAUCAGCGGCCUGUGGCUGAUGUGUCCUCCACGGCUCUCCCCGGGGAGAGCUCUCCGUGGGGACCGGCUGAGUGGAGCUGCCUGGAGACGCCCCCUUCACUGAGCAAAUGAGGCUUCAUUUGGAUAAGCCACACGGGCACAAAGGACCAGGGUCCCGCCCCCCAGGGCUGAGGGCAGAGUGGCUGCCUUGGGGGAGGUGAGGUCAGGGCCAGAAGCUACCACACAGGCGCCGUAAUGAUGUCUAAAUGGACGGCGGUGCUCUCUGCCCAGGUGCUGCAUGGCACAGGUCACAGGGCAGGUGCAAGGUCACAGAGACAUCCAAUGAGCGGGAACAAGAGCUCAGCCUGGGGAAGCCCUGCCUUGGCCUCCUCCCAACCCCCCUUCCCUCCCAGGCCAGCCGAGGUCCUGUCCCCAGGGGAGGAGAGAUGGGGCGAACCAUCCAGAAAUCACUACACAGGGUGUUACCCGCCUGGUCCAGAUUGCAGACAAAUGAGGGUGUGGCCCAGGGGCCCUGACAACAGCGGGCGGCCCAGGGGCCCUGAAUCACCCAGGCGCUCCUGGGGUGUCUGUGGGGAGCCCCUCUCUGCCCCAUUCCCACUGCUCUCCAGUGUCUGAGGCCAGGGACACAGGAGCCACACGAAACCCCAGAUGCCGCCCCUCUCUUCAACUCAGGACCCCUCCGGCACCCCCCCCCCCCAUAGCACCCAGCCACUCUGACCUCCCGGCUCCUCCUCAAGCCCAGCUCUCCCUGAUGACCCCGGGUCUUCUGGAAUCUCCCGGAAGGGUUCUCCUGGGCUCUCCGGCAGAGGUGACAGUUUUUACCUUUUCACGGGUGAAACCUGACCCCUCAGAGAAGCCACCCCAACGGGAAGCUAGUGGAAGUCAAGGGUUUUAAAACUCUCAGCGGCGGCGGCGUCUUGAAGUCAGACUGGAGCCCCGGGGAGUCAGCAGUUUGUAAACACGGGAAUGAGGGCGAUUAGCGGGGAAGUGGGUUCCUUCCCCAUUAAUUCAAGGCCACUGGGCUUUAUCGCUCCCGAGGGAGGGAGGGCCGGGACCUGCUCUCCCCUCCCCCGCCGCCUGGGGGGUGGCACUCUGCGGGGGAUGGGAAGCUGGCAGGGCUGGGCUGAGCCAAGGGCAGGGCCGGGCUCCCCUGCUCCUCCCCUUGUGACCUUGAGCGUGUCCCUCGCCUCUGAGUCUGACAGCGGCACCCCGAGGGGGGCCUCAGAGGAGCCGUGCGGGGCGUCCCGGCCUUGGGCUCUGUUUCCUCUCUUCCUCCAGGACGGCGCCCCUACCAGCCGCUCUGUGAGCAAAUGAUCGGGCUCUGGUUUGAGGCAGGAGGCAAAGAGAACCAAGGAGAAGGACGGGGAACUAAACACAGGCCAGGGGAGUCCCGGAGGCUUCCGGAGGCGGUGGCAUUGGCUGGUCUUUAAGCCCAGAGAGAAUGUCCACAAGCAAAAGGGGGGCCAGCGUGGAGCCUGAGCCAAGGCCUGAGGCAGGAAGGAGGUGACCAGCCCAUUGAGGGCUUGGCCGCCCUUAGAGCUGUGUUAGAAGUUUCCAGGGCCCACUUCAGAUCCACUAGGCUCCAGCGACACCCCCGUGCCUGGGUCUGUGUCCGGUGCCGUGGACCCAUGGUCCCUGCCCUCGAGAGGCUCAUCAUCUGCUCAAUGUCAUGUACUCUGUCCAUUCUGGGAUGGGGAGGCCCAGGGCUACUCUGGGCAAUCAGGGAGGGCUUCCUGGAAAAGGGCAACCUGAGCAGAGCCUUGUAAGCCAAGCAGGGAAUGAGGCACGUUGACCACGGCCCGCUGGGCUGAGCAGCGUGAGGGUCAGGGCAGGGUGGCCGGAGGCGGCGUGCCCACAGCCUCCUGUGCCCGGAACCAAGCGAGACUCUGCGUUAUCUGUUAUUUUCUUGGUACGUCCUCUGGGCGGCUGUUCCUUUACAGCUCAGGACCCUGGAGUUCAGGGAGGUUGGGGGACCUGCUGGGAAGUGGCCCAGCUGGAUUCCAGCCCCGGCUGCUGCUCGAGGCCUGGAAGCCACGGGGAGGACAGUGGGGAACCCUCGGAGAUUUGGGGCAGGAGAAUGACAUCCAGGAGAGGCCGGUUGUUUGUGGCUGAAAGCUCUGGAAAGGGCACUUUUGGGAAAGUCCACCUGCCGCCCGCCCCUCCCAGGGACACCCCACCCCCACCCUCAGCCAGGCCAGGGGCUGCGGGGGAAGGAGGGGAGCUGCCGCCACCAAGGCCCCUGACAAUGAGGUGAUUAUGUCUUGAGCUUUGCUUUAAAAACCUUAAUGGAUUUUUUCCACUCCAUAAAGCCACCCUGUGGUCUAGGAAUGAUAAUUGAGAUCCGGGAACCAGCCUAAUGCCCCAACUGCACAUCCGCUCCCCACGCCCAGUCUCCUGGCUGCCCGCUGCCCAGGACGGAGAGGGAGCUCUCAGCAGAGUGAGGUGUGAGUUGUAACCCUGGCUGUGUCCCUAUGGGCCGGCGCCAGCACUCUGCCUGGGGUUUUCCAAACAGCAGCAAACUGGGUCCUCUCAGCCUUGCAGGAUGGGGGCUGCUGCCAACACGCCGUUCCCAAGAGGCCUGUGGGCUCAUCCGUGGUACCAGCCACCCCUGACCCAGGAGCCCACCCCUGUUUCCAGCCCCCAGGCUUGCACACCUCUGGCGACGGGGGGCUCACUACUCUUUGCGGUCCUCCUUAUGAUCCAGCUGCUCUGCCCACCCGCCACGUGGGUGCAGGAUGUCACCUCUGAUCCUGCUGGCCUCUCCCUGACUUUGUCUCAUCCCUGCUCCCACACCAGCCUCGUGCCCUGCCUGGCCCAGGAGGCCCUGGGGGACCAAGGGGAUGGAUGAGAGCCACGUGUCCCUUGCGGCACCUGCUGUCCCCAUUCCCGUGCUUCCCCCUUACCGGGGUGGUCCCCGAUCCCCUGUCCAAGGGGAUGAAGAGGGAGGAACAUGAUGGGGCCACGUGGCAACUGGAUCCCCCUGCCCCAGUGCCUCUGAGUCCUUGUCUUCCCCCUACACACCUUGCUCAGAAGUCACAGCAACAACAACAACAACAACAAUAAUAAUAACAGCAGCUAAUACCUUUGCAGGCACCAGACCUGGUUUUAAGCAGUUCGCACAUAUCACCUCCGGGAGUCUUGUCACUAAUUCAUAUAGAACACACCAUAUUCGAUGCUAUUUUACUGCUGAGGUAGGUAGGGGGACCAGCAGAAGAUGCUCUCCCUUGCUGGGGACCUAAGGCACAGGGCCCUUUGGUCCCAGAGAGGGACCUCUGACUCCAGGGAGCAGUUCCCCCUCCCCUAGCACUGGCUUCCCCCCAGGUUUCUGGGGCAUAGAGUUGGCGCUCCUGCGGUCAACUCCUUUCUCUGCUGAGCUGAGCCCCAGCCCAGUGCCUGUGCCAGGCCAGGUGCUACUGCCAGAGGCCCAGAGGCUCCCCUUGGGCCUGUGAGGUGCUAGGACCCUGUGGGUCCGCAAGAAUUUAGAGACCUCAGAGGUCCCUUGCUCUGCUCCCUGGGGUCUAGUAGUGAUUGGGUCUGAGGGGACACGGGCUCAGGGUCCCAUACUCAGCCCUGCCACCAGCCCCACUAGAGUGACCCUGGCAAAGCUUCCAGUGCGCUGUCCCUUCAGCUCCAUCAGCCCGUGAAAACUGAGUCACUAUUUCCUGCAUACUUGGUGCGUGCUAGGUGCCAGGAGCAGCCUUUUACCUUCUUGAUCAAUAGUCCAGUGAGCUGGGUGACGGUUCCAUUUCACAGAAGAGGAAAGUGAGGCUUGCCAAGCCCAGGGACCCAUUAGCGCAGAACGAGGAUGGGGGCUACCCUGCCCUCAUGCUGUUGGCUCCAGUUCCCAGUGCCGGCUGGGGUCCUGGGGACCCUUGUUCCCAGACCAACAGCCACUCUUUCAUUCCCAGGCCUCUCUGGUCACAUUCCUCCCAGGCUCCCGUGCGACCCUGGGGCACGGAAGGAGAGAAAAUUGUUGGGAGCAGACCUUUGGGUCAGCUUCCUUCUGGCAUGAAUGGAAUUGGCUGGAUUUGUAAGAAUGCACUCAAUUUGCUGAGAAUAAUUUAUAUUUGCCUCUGAGUGCUGGCCAAUUUUAGCUUAAAUAGUCCAGAGUUGGUUCACUCACCCACUCUUAAGAUGCUGCUGUGCCAUUAGCCCCCUGCCCUCCUCCCCUCCCCAGCCACCCCAGAAAAUGUGUUGUUUCAAAGCAGAGAACAUCUGGGCUGUGUGUGAUCCAGCUGUAGGGACUGCAGGAACGACAGGCCUGCUGGACGAGGAACAUGGCCAUAGCAAUGACACGCCUACAAAUGCCAAGCCUGUCAUGCUGACAGGAUACAGGGCUGCCUGGGCCCCCCACUCAGUCCUGAGGUCUCUUGUCUGACCCAGACCAGUUUCUAUUACCGGAAGCAGAGAUUAGAGUUUGAAAUAUGUUUGAGUCAUGGCUCCGUGUGAUCUGGGGCAAGGGGCUUCAUUUUGCUGAGCCUCAGUUUACGUAUCUGUAAAACGGGCUAGGAACACGUGCUUUGCAGAGCUGCACUGGGGAUUCAAAGAGAAUCAGAGGUCAGAGUUCAGUAUGAUGCCUGGCAGACAGUGGGCAUUCUACCCUGAUCUGCCAUGUCUGCGUGCCACUUUCUGAGCCCAUUUUCUUCUGGCACUGACGCCCCCACCCUGCAUGAGACAGCCCCCUUUCAUGCCCUCACCUGCCUCCUUGCCUUUGCUCAAAAGUGUGUUUGUGUUUGGCUUGAUAAUAAGUCUUGAAUCUAGUCUAUGAAUUCCAGUAUUGUUUUGAAUAUCAUAGAUACCUUCCAUUUCCACGUGGAAAUAUAGGACCAGUUUAUCCCUUCCAUUUCCAUGUGGAAAUAUUAGGGUCAGUUUAUCAGUCCUCCCUCAGAUGUACACACAGACCUGCUAGGAUUUGGACUGGGGGUAGCCGUCAACGUACAGAUCAAUGUACAAGUCGAAUUCACAUCUUUACGAUAUUGAGGCUUCUUAUCUAUGAACAUGGUAUAUCUUUCCGCUUUUUAAAAGGUCUCUUUGAGUUCUCUCAAUCAUGUUCUGCUUUAUCUGUGUAAAUGUCUUACACUUCUUUCCUUAGACUUGUUCUUGGGUGCUUUUGUGUUUUUGAUGUUGUUGCAAAUGCUUUCUUACAAGGUAAUUUCCUAAUUGCUGUGAAUGCUAUGGAGAGAUACGAUUGAUUUGGGCAUGUUGACCUGGUAUCCAGCAACCUCGCUAAAUUUAUUCGUCCUCACAGAUGACCUGUACCUUCUUCUAGAUGACCCCUCAUAACUGAUCAUGUCAUCUGUACAUGCUGACAGUCUUAUUUUUUAUUUUCCCAAUCCUUCCUUCAUCUUUUUCUCUUUCUUGCCUGGCGUAACGUAAAACCGAUAGAGUGACCACAGUGGUUACUCCUGACGGGUUCCUGACCCAGAGGGGGAGGUUUUCAAUUGCUCAUCCUUAAGAACGCUGUUUGCUGACAGAUAAAGCAGUUUCCUUCUAUUCCUAGAUUGCUACACGUUUUAAAAAAAAUCAUGACGAGUGGUUCAGUGCUAUCAAAUGCUCUCUCUACAUGGAUUGAGAUAAACAUAUGGUUAUGUAUUACAUUCUUCUUCUGUGAUGACUGUCAAGUCAAGGCAGUCUUACAUCCCACAGUAAACUCAACUUGAUCACGAUGGAUUGUUCUUUAUACAUACAGCCAGAUUCUGUUCCGCUAAUACUUUACUUAAGAUGUUCGCAUCUCGGCAUUCCGUGGUGGUGCAGUGGUAAUGAACCUGGCUAGCUUCCAUGAGGAUGCACGUUCAGUCCCUGGCCUUGCUCAGUGGGUGAAGGAUCCAGCAUUGCCACGAGCUGUGGUGUAGGUCACAGAUGCAUCUCAG
RNAcentral lists this long non-coding RNA (5882 nucleotides) under Sus scrofa (pig). RNAcentral's name for it is "lncRNA (ENSSSCG00000054925.1)". Lineage: Eukaryota; Metazoa; Chordata; Mammalia; Artiodactyla; Suidae. The record is from RNAcentral.